This 554-nucleotide small RNA is filed under the name Arabidopsis thaliana (thale cress). RNAcentral describes it as "ATSL274060". Lineage: Eukaryota; Viridiplantae; Streptophyta; Magnoliopsida; Brassicales; Brassicaceae. The record is from RNAcentral.
ACCACACCCAGUGCUCUACAAAGAGCUGUGUUGGUCGAGUGUUUUCUUAUUUCUGCUUGAUUUUCUGUUUUUUACAUGUUCACUUAAGACUGUUAGAACACACCAAAACCUGUUAUUGCUUGGCUUGACUUAGUGACUUUUUAUCACAUCUUGAUUGUUAGCAUCACACUCAUUUGGAUUGACACCCUAAAAUAGUACAACGACAUAAUUGGUGUUUUAGGAUAAUUGACUGAAAAACCUAUUAUCAAUUUGGCGCCAUUGUCAAUUGGGUGUUUUUUUGUUACAUUUGAGAUUUCAGACUUGCUUAGAUCAAGUUCUUUUUCAAUUUUCUUUUCUGUUACUAACUGUGUGUUUUUCUUGUUGUCUUCUUGAUCAAGGUACACCUCUGCUGUAUGAAAAAUCGAUCAACAGACAAUCAGAACCUCCUUUUCAAAGACAACAUCGACCGCAUAGCUCGCGAACUCAGAGAAAGGAGAAACACAGUCAACCUUGUACCCCAGCAACCACUCGAAAUGGCUGACGAACAGAAUCAACAAAAUGGCCCUGCCAACAGU